Long non-coding RNA from Varroa destructor (honeybee mite), 974 nucleotides. RefSeq lists it as uncharacterized. Lineage: Eukaryota; Metazoa; Arthropoda; Arachnida; Mesostigmata; Varroidae. The record is from RefSeq and is a predicted model, not a curated record.
UCUGCAUCGUCAUCUCUACCCAUGUAAACGUAUCUGGGUACGCUUCAACAAGUAUGUUCCGAGUUUGAGGCGAGAUGUUUGUCGUGUCUAUUUUAUAUCGGUGUAAUAUGUUUUAACCUAAGAAUUAGUAUGUGAGUGAUAACUGUGGACCAAAGUUUACAAGUUAGACAAAAGUGGAAAAAAGCUAACAAUAUUGUUACGUUUAAUGGGCGAUUUACGACCACACGUGAACAGAGAUGGGCUGCGUCAACUCGCCUGUUAAAGAAUGCUCGGAAUGCUUCCUUAAUCAUAGAUCUAACGCUAAUGGAUCGUUUCUCGCGGGGAUGCCGCCAAGAAAACAUACGAAACUAGGACAUCUGAACGCUGCAGUUGGUUGCUGCUGCUAGUAUGAGCAUCGCUUCUGGUGUAGGUAUACAGAAAGCUUCGCUUCCCGACCAGCCACCAUUGCAGUGGCCGCGUGCCGGCUUUGUUUGCUCGAGGGAUGAAGGCCAAUCUAUAGCUUGCUCUAAAAAGACACCCUACGAAUAAAUGAGCCAGAAACCGCUUUUCGCGCAGAAGUGAAACAGAAGCGAAGUGCACGGCGAAGCGCAUAAGAAUAUGAGGAUUUCCACAUAUGACGUGACUGGGCGCGUCCGCCUUUUGGUCUUAAUCAAUCAUUGGCGACUUCAAAGGGUUUCCAAAUUGAGAUGCGUCAGAGUAAGUGGCUCAAAUAGUCUAACCGAGGUGGCUAACGGUGACUGUGCGCUAGUCACCGCCAUGGGUCGCCUUUAACACAAAUACUGAUUAAUGGAUCGCUAGGGUUCAUCCACCGCUCAAGGAGGAGGAAGGAGGACAUGAAGGCCGAACGAAGAACGAGAAAGUUAGAAACAAUGUAGACACAGCUAGCAAACGAGAAAAUAGUAACGAUCCCCUGGAAAGUUUUAUUAUCGCUAUGUAACACUAUGGACCUCAUGUGAAAUGCUAUCGAGGCGUCA